ACGAACGCUGGCGGCAUGCCUAACACAUGCAAGUCGAACGAGACCUUCGGGUCUAGUGGCGCACGGGUGCGUAACGCGUGGGAAUCUGCCCUUGGGUUCGGAAUAACAGUUGGAAACGACUGCUAAUACCGGAUGAUGACGUAAGUCCAAAGAUUUAUCGCCCAAGGAUGAGCCCGCGUAGGAUUAGCUAGUUGGUGAGGUAAAGGCUCACCAAGGCGACGAUCCUUAGCUGGUCUGAGAGGAUGAUCAGCCACACUGGGACUGAGACACGGCCCAGACUCCUACGGGAAGCAGCAGUGGGGAAUAUUGGACAAUGGGCGAAAGCCUGAUCCAGCAAUGCCGCGUGAGUGAUGAAGGCCUUAGGGUUGUAAAGCUCUUUUACCCGGGAUGAUAAUGACAGUACCGGGAGAAUAAGCUCCGGCUAACUCCGUG
RNAcentral lists this ribosomal RNA (432 nucleotides) under uncultured bacterium. RNAcentral's name for it is "partial 16S ribosomal RNA". It matches the Rfam family "Bacterial small subunit ribosomal RNA", at positions 29 to 507 of the family's 1533-position model. The record is from RNAcentral.